RNAcentral lists this long non-coding RNA (406 nucleotides) under Triticum aestivum (bread wheat). RNAcentral describes it as "long non-coding RNA (TAES_LNC004636)". Lineage: Eukaryota; Viridiplantae; Streptophyta; Magnoliopsida; Poales; Poaceae. The record is from RNAcentral.
ACCUGAGGUACACGCACCAAUUGAAAUAAGAGGUGAUAAUGUUAUCAUAUAUCUAUACUCGAUUUAUUAUUAACUUAACGACCAACCUGGACGGUAAAAAUUUACUUCACUUGGGUAACAGGAGUUGGACAUCGAAAGCUUGUUCAAUCAUUUUAAAAUAUUUAUCUUUGUUGUUCCGCUUAGCUAACCAUCCUUAAGUGUUUUUAUAGAAUCUAUAAAAACAAAGUGCUUUGCUUCUUUCCUUGCUUGGUUCAAGGUUCUAGGACGAUGUAUUGAGAGUCCAGUUUCUUUUUUUUUAGAUUUUGUAGUAGCAGAGAUGUGUAUAAUAUGGAUAGCUGAAUUGGUGUUUAGGCGUUUCAUUGCAGGACUGCUACUUGCUCGAUUAGUUAGAUGAACUGGUGCUUAG